CCAGACUCCUACGGGAGGCAGCAGUGAGGAAUAUUGGUCAAUGGGCGCGAGCCUGAACCAGCCAAGUCGCGUGAGGGAAGACGGUCCUAUGGAUUGUAAACCUCUUUUGUCGGGGAGCAAAAGACGCCACGUGUGGCGUUCCGAGAGUACCCGAAGAAAAAGCAUCGGCUAACUCCGUGCCAGCAGCCGCGGUAAUACGUAGGGGGCAAGCGUUAUCCGGAAUUACUGGGUGUAAAGGGAGCGUAGGCGGUGAUGUAAGUCUGGAGUGAAAGGCGGGGGCCCAACCCCCGGACUGCUCUGGAAACUAUGUGACUGGAGUGCAGGAGAGGUGAGCGGAAUUCCUAGUGUAGCGGUGAAAUGCGUAGAUAUUAGGAGGAACACCAGUGGCGAAGGCGGCCUGCUGGACAGAAACUGACGUUGAGGCUCGAAAGCGUGGGGAGCAAACAGGAUUAGAUCCCCCCGUA
This 464-nucleotide ribosomal RNA is filed under the name uncultured bacterium. Its description in RNAcentral is "bacterial SSU rRNA". It matches the Rfam family "Bacterial small subunit ribosomal RNA", at positions 331 to 792 of the family's 1533-position model. The record is from RNAcentral.